Molecule: non-coding RNA, 83 nt
Organism: Dichomitus squalens LYAD-421 SS1
Lineage: Eukaryota; Fungi; Basidiomycota; Agaricomycetes; Polyporales; Polyporaceae
Source: the annotation of a RefSeq genome assembly
UCUCUGUUAGUAUAUCGGAUAGUACACGCGCCUGUCAUUGUAUUCGUGCGCGCGAAAGCGGGGUUCGACUCCCCGACAGAGAG